UUGUAUGUGAAAAUUUCUGUUCCUCCUCAUUCCUGGGAGCAGGAAUGUAUUCAUAAUAUGUUACAUUAAAAAGGGGGGACAGGCAGUGGUACAUACAUUA
Small nucleolar RNA from Erinaceus europaeus (western European hedgehog), 100 nucleotides. Lineage: Eukaryota; Metazoa; Chordata; Mammalia; Eulipotyphla; Erinaceidae. The record is from Ensembl.